UACAGAGGGUGCGAGCGUUGUCCGGAAUCAUUGGGCGUAAAGAGCGUGUAGGCGGCUAUUUAAGUCCUGCGUGAAAUCCUGCGGCUCAACCGCAGACGGUCGUGGGAAACUGGAUGGCUAGAGUGCGGGAGAGGAGAGUGGAAUUCCCGGUGUAGCGGUGAAAUGCGCAGAUAUCGGGAAGAACACCCGUGGCGAAGGCGGCUCUCUGGAACGCAACUGACGCUGAGACGCGAAAGCGUGGGGAGCAAACAGG
RNAcentral lists this ribosomal RNA (253 nucleotides) under uncultured bacterium. RNAcentral describes it as "partial 16S ribosomal RNA". It matches the Rfam family "Bacterial small subunit ribosomal RNA", at positions 524 to 776 of the family's 1533-position model. The record is from RNAcentral.